GUGAUCACACCUUAGCUGAGGCACCAUUUCUGUGAGGCUCCUCUGGAAACCAUUAUUUCCUGGCACGCUCAGGCUUGCAGACAAGAAAUCACCUUCUGGCUUUCCAUUUUGCCAGGACGGAUCGUGAGGCUGGCGAGGCUGCCAUGGAAAAACUGUGCAAAUCGUGGUUUGGCCACUUCACCUCCUGUAAGAACAAGAAACAUUGCCAUCUGCUGUGAGGAGACCAG
Molecule: long non-coding RNA, 227 nt
Organism: Phodopus roborovskii (desert hamster)
Lineage: Eukaryota; Metazoa; Chordata; Mammalia; Rodentia; Cricetidae
Exons: 2
Source: RefSeq, a predicted model, not a curated record